AAUAAAAAAAAGAAGCAAACCCAGAGAUUUCAAGGUUACACAUGGGAUCAAAGAUUUAGAGCUAGAAAGAACCUUUUAAUUUUACAGAUGAUGAACCUAAGGCUCAGAGAAGUUAGGGGGCUAGCCUAAGAUCACCCAAAUAGAGUAAGUAAUAUAAUCAGGAUUUGAAGUCAGUUUUUCUAUUCCAAAUGCAUUACUUUUCAGUUAAUUAGCAUUUUUUUGGAUUUUUUUAUCUUAUUGUAAUAAGAAAUGGGAGAGAGCGAGAAGGUAACGAUUCUGGAAAAGAACAUCUGCUACCUAAAUAAAUUAUGUCCCUGCUAGAAAAAUAAAGAUGUGUUCCUUUGAUUAAUCAAGGUCAAGUUGGAUCCUGAACCAAUUUUGAAAGAAAAUCCCAAAGGUACUAGAUCUUCCCUUGCGGGGAUACUUGCUAUCUCCUGUAAAAGCUAAGCUGCUCUCGUAUUGGAAUUUCCCCGGUAGCCAGGAGCUUCCAGGGUAAUAAUCUUGGCCUCUGUCCAGGUGAGAAUGGUUAUUGCUUCACAUUACAUUAAUCUGUUUCUUGCCCCCACUCACAGGUUUACAUUGGACACUUUCAGCUGACCUCAGGGUCUAAAGAUCCAUGUAGCCAAUAUAUCUUGGGAGAAUAAACACUUCCUGUUGGUCCAGACCACAUCCACAAAACUACAUAUGUAUGCCUUCGAGGCUACACAGUGGUGCUGAAAGCUGGAGAACAAUGAGAGCUUUCUGCACUGUGAGAUUGGCCAGACUGGGUACCUUACUUGCAUGGAGCUCACAUUUCCUACCUUCCUGAGAAGCUGUAGGGAAAGACACAGCAAGCCUUUUUUUUUUAAAGAUGGCAUCCAGGAAUGAAAGAAAAUGAAAGUGGUCAAUAAUCCUAUACAAGAACAAAACAAAAAAUCUUCAACAAUGAAAUUCACUAAAAAGGAGAAAAUCAAUGAGUUUGACCAAGAAUGAGCAAGAAUGGACAAGUUGAAGUGUCCUGCAUACAAGGAAGUAGGCUUGGGUUUAAGUCCCAGCUAUUCCACCUAGUUAAGUCAUUUCUCUGAGACUCAAUUUUAUUUUUUUAUUUUUAUUACCUGACCCCAAAAAUAGGUAUAUAAUUAAAACCUACUUAAUUUUUCUUGCAGGAUUGCUAUGAGAAAAGCACCUUAAAAUGGCAAAUUGCUGGAUAAAUAUGGUUAACCAGUGCACUAAAGUGAGUGAUAUCCAAGCCCACCUGGCUCUCAAUGAAAAUUAAUGAUAACAGAAUAAGCCAAACAGGGACUGAUCACUUAACCUCCUCAGCUCCAGGAUCCUACGCUUCUUCUCAAAUACAGUUUGUGGGGAAAGGAAGAUGGUCCAAUGCAAGGCCCUGAGAUAUGUGUAUUUGUAGAGAGUCCCCAACAGAAGGCAACUAUGUUUUAAAUCUGUCACUGGCCAAUAAAGAAAUUAGAAGCACCACAGUUCAGAUACCAAAAUAUUCGCCCAUCUUGAUUUUCAUGGCAUAAGAACAUGAUACACUGAAAACACGCUAAGAAUUGUGUAAUCUCAGUGGGAUGCAAUGAACAAUGGAAUAGUCCAAGACAAGAUUACCAAUGACCAACAGACUGCAGACAUUUAAUAAGGUACACAUCUCAUUUAGAAACUCUGGGGAAGUACAAGGCAUUCUGUAUGAGGCACGAUUCAAUCCAGCAUUCUUUUCCCUGCAUACCCCUCGGUUCUGGCUGAAAAGGACUUCUGGGGUCCAGGAAAUUGACUGUGUCAUAGUCAUCAUCAUCAUCAUCAUCAUCAUCCUCAUCAUCAUCAUCAUCCUCAU
This is a long non-coding RNA of Sarcophilus harrisii (Tasmanian devil), 1813 nucleotides long. RefSeq lists it as uncharacterized. The transcript has 4 exons. The record is from RefSeq and is a predicted model, not a curated record. Lineage: Eukaryota; Metazoa; Chordata; Mammalia; Dasyuromorphia; Dasyuridae.